GAGGAAUAUUGGUCAAUGGGCGCAAGCCUGAACCAGCCAAGUAGCGUGCAGGAAGACGGCCCUAUGGGUUGUAAACUGCUUUUAUACGAGAGUAAUUUGAUGCACGUGUGCGUUAUUGCAUGUAUCGUAUGAAUAAGGACCGGCUAAUUCCGUGCCAGCAGCCGCGGUAAUACGGAAGGUCCAGGCGUUAUCCGGAUUUAUUGGGUUUAAAGGGAGUGUAGGCGGUUUGUUAAGCGUGUUGUGAAAUUUAGGUGCUCAACAUUUAACUUGCAGCGCGAACUGUCAGACUUGAGUACACGCAACGUAUGCGGAAUUCAUGGUGUAGCGGUGAAAUGCUUAGAUAUCAUGAAGAACUCCGAUUGCGAAGGCAGCAUACGGGAGUGUAACUGACGCUUAAGCUCGGAGGUGCGGGUAUCGAACAGGAUUAGAUACCCUGGUAGUCCGCACAGUAAACGAUGGAUGCCCGCUGUUAGCGCCUGGCGUUAGCGGCUAAGCGAAAGCAUUAAGCAUCCCACCUGGGGAGUACGCCGGCAACGGUG
RNAcentral lists this ribosomal RNA (539 nucleotides) under uncultured bacterium. Its description in RNAcentral is "bacterial SSU rRNA". It matches the Rfam family "Bacterial small subunit ribosomal RNA", at positions 356 to 896 of the family's 1533-position model. The record is from RNAcentral.